RNAcentral lists this ribosomal RNA (1090 nucleotides) under Salmonella enterica subsp. enterica serovar Typhimurium. RNAcentral's name for it is "partial 23S ribosomal RNA". It matches the Rfam family "Bacterial large subunit ribosomal RNA", at positions 64 to 1193 of the family's 2925-position model. The record is from RNAcentral. Lineage: Bacteria; Pseudomonadati; Pseudomonadota; Gammaproteobacteria; Enterobacterales; Enterobacteriaceae.
AUCUGCGAUAAGCGCCGGUAAGGUGAUAUGAACCGUUAUAACCGGCGAUACCCGAAUGGGGAAACCCAGUGUGAUUCGUCACACUAUCAUUAACUGAAUCCAUAGGUUAAUGAGGCGAACCGGGGGAACUGAAACAUCUAAGUACCCCGAGGAAAAGAAAUCAACCGAGAUUCCCCCAGUAGCGGCGAGCGAACGGGGAGGAGCCCAGAGCCUGAAUCAGCAUGUGUGUUAGUGGAAGCGUCUGGAAAGGCGCGCGAUACAGGGUGACAGCCCCGUACACAAAAGCGCAUGUGCUGUGAGCUCGAUGAGUAGGGCGGGACACGUGGUAUCCUGUCUGAAUAUGGGGGGACCAUCCUCCAAGGCUAAAUACUCCUGACUGACCGAUAGUGAACCAGUACCGUGAGGGAAAGGCGAAAAGAACCCCGGCGAGGGGAGUGAAAAAGAACCUGAAACCGUGUACGUACAAGCAGUGGGAGCACAGGUUUACCUGUGUGACUGCGUACCUUUUGUAUAAUGGGUCAGCGACUUAUAUUCUGUAGCAAGGUUAACCGUAUAGGGGAGCCGUAGGGAAACCGAGUCUUAACCGGGCGUUAAGUUGCAGGGUAUAGACCCGAAACCCGGUGAUCUAGCCAUGGGCAGGUUGAAGGUUGGGUAACACUAACUGGAGGACCGAACCGACUAAUGUUGAAAAAUUAGCGGAUGACCUGUGGCUGGGGGUGAAAGGCCAAUCAAACCGGGAGAUAGCUGGUUCUCCCCGAAAGCUAUUUAGGUAGCGCCUCGUGAAUUCAUCUCCGGGGGUAGAGCACUGUUUCGGCUAGGGGGCCAUCCCGGCUUACCAACCCGAUGCAAACUGCGAAUACCGGAGAAUGUUAUCACGGGAGACACACGGCGGGUGCUAACGUCCGUCGUGAAGAGGGAAACAACCCAGACCGCCAGCUAAGGUCCCAAAGUCAUGGUUAAGUGGGAAACGAUGUGGGAAGGCCCAGACAGCCAGGAUGUUGGCUUAGAAGCAGCCAUCAUUUAAAGAAAGCGUAAUAGCUCACUGGUCGAGUCGGCCUGCGCGGAAGAUGUAACGGGGCUAAACCAUGCA